GCAAGUCGAACGAGAAAAAUUCCUUCGGGAAUCGAGUAAAGUGGCGCACGGGUGAGUAACGCGUAAGUAAUCUACCCUUGCAUCUGGAAUAACUACGGGAAGCUGUAGCUAAUACCGGAUACGUUCUCCAUCCUACGGGAUGGAGAAGAAAGAUGACCUCUUCUUGAAAGUUACCGUGCAGGGAGGAGCUUGCGUACCAUUAGCUAGUUGGUAGGGUAAUGGCCUACCAAGGCAACGAUGGUUAGCGGGUCUGAGAGGAUGAUC
RNAcentral lists this ribosomal RNA (264 nucleotides) under uncultured bacterium. Its description in RNAcentral is "partial 16S ribosomal RNA". It matches the Rfam family "Bacterial small subunit ribosomal RNA", at positions 57 to 305 of the family's 1533-position model. The record is from RNAcentral.